This 497-nucleotide ribosomal RNA is filed under the name uncultured bacterium. RNAcentral describes it as "partial 16S ribosomal RNA". It matches the Rfam family "Bacterial small subunit ribosomal RNA", at positions 28 to 507 of the family's 1533-position model. The record is from RNAcentral.
GACGAACGCUGGCGGCGUGCCUAAUACAUGCAAGUUGAGCGAUGAAGAUUGGUGCUUGCACCAAUUUGAAGAGCAGCGAACGGGUGAGUAACGCGUGGGGAAUCUGCCUUUGAGCGGGGGACAACAUUUGGAAACGAAUGCUAAUACCGCAUAAUAACUUUAAACAUAAGUUUUAAGUUUGAAAGAUGCAAUUGCAUCACUCAAAGAUGAUCCCGCGUUGUAUUAGCUAGAUGGUGAGGUAAAGGCUCACCAAGGCGAUGAUACAUAGCCGACCUGAGAGGGUGAUCGGCCACAUUGGGACUGAGACACGGCCCAAACUCCUACGGGAGGCAGCAGUAGGGAAUCUUCGGCAAUGGACGAAAGUCUGACCGAGCAACGCCGCGUGAGUGAAGAAGGUUUUCGGAUCGUAAAACUCUGUUGGUAGAGAAGAACGUUGGUGAGAGUGGAAAGCUCAUCAAGUGACGGUAACUACCCAGAAAGGGACGGCUAACUACGUG